This 1285-nucleotide long non-coding RNA is filed under the name Homo sapiens (human). RNAcentral's name for it is "HSALNT0218604". The record is from RNAcentral. Lineage: Eukaryota; Metazoa; Chordata; Mammalia; Primates; Hominidae.
GAGAACCUGGGUGUUGUAACAAGUCUCCUCCAGCAGGUUACAUCACCAGGGCCCAACAGGCUGGAAUUGCCUCCCUGCCAAGGCAAAGCUAGUUCUGUGUUUGUUAUUCCCACCACCAUGAAGGAAACCUCCAGAAAAUCCUUUGCAUUAUUCAAAACUGAAAUUUUACCUCAACAAAAAUAUGAAUGAGAGAUAGGGACCUGUACAGUCAAAUGACCAUUUGGUACUGAUCACCCAUUAAAUGUCACAAAAAAGUAAAGUGGAGUCAGAAGAAGAACCAAACGCUGAUUCGAACAUCUGGUAGAUGGAUCAUAAUUACAGCAGAGUUGCUGGGCAGAUAAGGCUGAAGACACGUAGAAGAAAACAACUAUUGGGUGAAUUUUGUGAGCAUUGAAAUGACACAGCACAGGGGAGCUAUAAAGGGGAGUUAUGACUUUGUUCCUGUUUUUAAAUCCACACUUUGCUGGUUCAAGAAUUGCUUUAAGAUCAUACUUUUGAUCUUCCGUGCACUCCUGAAGUAGGAAAAACACUGACUAGAAGGUCAAAGUCAUAAUACUACUGUAUGGUUGAUUUGAGGGGACUUCCUAGCUGUCCACCCAGUGCAUGAAUUCUUCUCUGCAACAUCCAUAUGUAAUGGCUAUCUGUGUUUUCUUUUGACUUCCUUCAGUGAUGUGAAACUUACCCUGAAUGAGACCUUCUUCUCCUAGGAAUACAAAAAGUUAAUAAUAAUAAUAAUAAUAGUUAUUAUCAAUUUAGCAUUUAUUAAAUACCAGACAUUGGAAUACAACCUUUACCUGCAUGUCGUUUAAAUUCAUUCUAAGUAUUAUCAACCCAUUUUAGAGAUGAAGUAAUCAAGACAGCAUUAAGAAACUUCCACAAGAACAGAGAACUACUUGGUUCUGUAUGAUUCUAGAGGCUGCGCUCCUAAUCUGUGUAGAAUACCACUUCCUUCAAGUAUAUACACAUUUUUAGUCUUGCAGAAUAAGCUGAUUCCACACAGGUGUCAUCUUCACUUUCUCACCUCCUGUUCCACUCCUUCUCUUCCAGGAGGCAUUUUUAGCCCAGUUUAACAUUUCUAGUUGUCAGGGCUAUUUCUCAUAUGACUUAACUUCUAUUGCCUCCUCUCUUUCCCCUGAGUAUUCUCUUAAAAUCUCGCACUCAGAACAAAAUGUAAUAAUUUUGAAGAGGUCUGGCCACUUUUCCUGGAAGCUAUACUUCUAUUUACAUGGACUGAGAUGAAAUGACCUUUGGUCUUAGGUCAUAUUUUGGAAGUGCUAAGUUGUAU